CCUACGGGAGGCAGCAGUGGGGAAUAUCGGACAAUGGGGGCAACCCUGAUCCAGCCAUGCCGCGUGUGUGAAGAAGGCCCUCGGGUUGUAAAGCACUUUCAGUGAGGAAGAACGCCUGGUGGUUAAUACCCAUCGGGAAAGACAUCACUCACAGAAGAGGCACCGGCUAACUCCGUGCCAGCAGCCGCGGUAAUACGGAGGGUGCGAGCGUUAAUCGGAAUUACUGGGCGUAAAGCGCGCGUAGGUGGCUUGAUAAGCCGGUUGUGAAAGCCCCGGGCUCAACCUGGGAACGGCAUCCGGAACUGUCAAGCUAGAGUGCAGGAGAGGAAGGUAGAAUUCCCGGUGUAGCGGUGAAAUGCGUAGAGAUCGGGAGGAAUACCAGUGGCGAAGGCGGCCUUCUGGACUGACACUGACACUGAGGUGCGAAAGCGUGGGUAGCAAACAGGAUUAGAUACCCCUGUAGUC
RNAcentral lists this ribosomal RNA (465 nucleotides) under Vreelandella stevensii. RNAcentral's name for it is "partial 16S ribosomal RNA". It matches the Rfam family "Bacterial small subunit ribosomal RNA", at positions 338 to 795 of the family's 1533-position model. The record is from RNAcentral. Lineage: Bacteria; Pseudomonadati; Pseudomonadota; Gammaproteobacteria; Oceanospirillales; Halomonadaceae.